RNAcentral lists this unclassified non-coding RNA (309 nucleotides) under Hevea brasiliensis (rubber tree). Lineage: Eukaryota; Viridiplantae; Streptophyta; Magnoliopsida; Malpighiales; Euphorbiaceae. The record is from RNAcentral.
CGCAUCCCUGCGGACUUCGUCUUUCUCCUUGAAUGAUAGCAGAGUGAGGGUAUUUAAUGCCCAUGUCAGUUCCCUCUUUAAUCCACUUUGAAGAGCUAGAACAAUUCUUUUAUUAUUCUGUUCAGCGAAGGCGGAGUGAACUUGCAGGGAAGGGCCAAGGAGUGUUGACGGAGCUGCUGAAUCAGCUGCUGCUGCAGCAGCUGCAGAAGCAGCGUUACUAUUUCCGCUUCCAAAUGGCCGACCUCUUUUCGCCGGCGGUCCGACGGAGCCACCCGAUGAUCCGCUUAGCUUUGAUUGCUCUCUUUUCUG